AUAUAACUUACUAUAGUUAUACUAUACAUAAUUCAAAAAAAUAGUGAAAAUAUACUAAACCCAGACCGGCCCCCUCAACCCAUAACCCUUAUGGUUCAAUUUUUAUCCGAACUAACCCGGCCCGAUACGAACCUGUUACUGUGCAACCCAGCUGGUCCGGCCCGGAACCCGGACGGGUAAAAAAAAUUGACCCUGCCCGGACCGGCCCACCCGUUAAACAACCUUAACUCGCGUAGCCAGGAGGAGCAUAUGAGAAUCUGAUGACUGUACUACAAACGUUGAGGGAGAAGAAGAUUUAUGUUAAAUUUUCCAAAUGUGAGUUCUGGCUUGAUUUUGUGGCGUUCUUCAUCAAGGUAGAUCUAAAGAAGAUUGAGGCUGUUAAGAGUUGGCCUAGACCAUCUUCAACUACUUAUAUUUGGAGUUUUCUUUGUUUGGAUGCUGGAUAUUAUUGUCAUUUCUGGGAUGAAUGUUGCAGUUUUUUGGCCAAAGACAUGUUUGAAAAUAAAGAUAGCUUAAAUAUCAGAGAACAAAAUAUGUAAUCAAUAUAGAAAGUAAAGGGUUGUACUGUGUUAUUUUUCCUUCCAUUUGGUAAUGGCGGUGAUCGCCUUCUAGGUCUUUGACUCCAUAAUAUAGGUGACCAAAAUACACUACCCAAUCCUUGACAUAGAGAAUUUCUCCACUUGCUCUGAGAUGACAAUAGUAAGAAGGUCCAGAGUUAUAAUCCAGAAUAAAUAAGAAUACGAAAAUUCUUCAGGACACUUACGUCUAAUAUUCCAAGUCUCCGAGAGAGGGUUCCUAUUGGGCUUAUCAAAG
Molecule: long non-coding RNA, 813 nt
Filed under: Nicotiana benthamiana
Lineage: Eukaryota; Viridiplantae; Streptophyta; Magnoliopsida; Solanales; Solanaceae
Description: long non-coding RNA (NBEN_LNC015562)
Source: RNAcentral